This 499-nucleotide ribosomal RNA is filed under the name uncultured bacterium. RNAcentral's name for it is "partial 16S ribosomal RNA". It matches the Rfam family "Bacterial small subunit ribosomal RNA", at positions 899 to 1397 of the family's 1533-position model. The record is from RNAcentral.
ACUCAAAUGAAUUGACGGGGGCCCGCACAAGCGGUGGAUCAUGUGGUUUAAUUCGAAGCAACGCGAAGAACCUUACCUGGAUUUGACAUCCUCUGACAGCUCUAGAGAUAGAGGGUUCGUAGCAAUACGACAGAGAGACAGGUGCUGCAUGGCUGUCGUCAGCUCGUGUUGUGAAAUGUUGGGUUAAGUCCCGCAACGAGCGCAACCCCUGCCUUUGGUUGCCAUCAUUAAGUUGGGCACUCCAGAGGGACUGCCGUCGUUAAGACGGAGGAAGGUGGGGAUGACGUCAAGUCCUCAUGGCCGUUAUAUCCAGGGCGACACACGUGAUACAAUGGUUGGUACAGAGGGUAGCGAAGCAGCAAUGCGGAGCCAAUCUCAAAAAGCCAAUCUCAGUUCGGAUUGGAGUCUGCAACUCGACUCCAUGAAGUUGGAAUCGCUAGUAAUCGCGGAUCAGCACGCCGCGGUGAAUACGUUCCCGGGCCUUGUACACACCGCCCGU